Molecule: ribosomal RNA, 465 nt
Filed under: Vreelandella stevensii
Lineage: Bacteria; Pseudomonadati; Pseudomonadota; Gammaproteobacteria; Oceanospirillales; Halomonadaceae
Description: partial 16S ribosomal RNA
Rfam family: Bacterial small subunit ribosomal RNA
Source: RNAcentral
CCUACGGGCGGCAGCAGUGGGGAAUAUUGGACAAUGGGGGCAACCCUGAUCCAGCCAUGCCGCGUGUGUGAAGAAGGCCCUCGGGUUGUAAAGCACUUUCAGUGAGGAAGAACGCCUGGUGGUUAAUACCCAUCAGGAAAGACAUCACUCACAGAAGAAGCACCGGCUAACUCCGUGCCAGCAGCCGCGGUCAUACGGAGGGUGCGAGCGUUAAUCGGAAUUACUGGGCGUAAAGCGCGCGUAGGUGGCUUGAUAAGCCGGUUGUGAAAGCCCCGGGCUCAACCUGGGAACGGCAUCCGGAACUGUCAAGCUAGAGUGCAGGAGAGGAAGGUAGAAUUCCCGGUGUAGCGGUGAAAUGCGUAGAGAUCGGGAGGAAUACCAGUGGCGAAGGCGGCCUUCUGGACUGACACUGACACUGAGGUGCGAAAGCGUGGGUAGCAAACAGGAUUAGAUACCCUGGUAGUC